ACCUCGGAUCAGGUAGGGAUACCCGCUGAACUUAAGCAUAUCAAUAAGCGGAGGAAAAGAAACCAACAGGGAUUACCUCAGUAACGGCGAGUGAAGCGGUAACAGCUCAAAUUUGAAAGCUGGCUCUUUUAGGGUCCGCGUUGUAAUUUGUAGAAGAUGCUUCGGGUGUGGCCCCGGUCUAAGUUCCUUGGAACAGGACGUCAUAGAGGGUGAGAAUCCCGUAUGUGACUGGGUGCUUUCGCCCAUGUGAAGCUCUUUCGACGAGUCGAGUUGUUUGGGAAUGCAGCUCAAAAUGGGUGGUAAAUUUCAUCUAAAGCUAAAUAUUGGCCAGAGACCGAUAGCGCACAAGUAGAGUGAUCGAAAGAUGAAAAGCACUUUGGAAAGAGAGUUAAACAGUACGUGAAAUUGUUGAAAGGGAAGCGCUUGCAACCAGACUUGCGCGCUGAUGAUCAUCCGGGCUUCUGCCCGGUGCACUCGUCUGCGCUCAGGCCAGCAUCGGUUUCGGUGGUGGGAUAAAGGCCUUGGGAAUGUGGCUCCUCUCGGGGAGUGUUAUAG
Molecule: ribosomal RNA, 555 nt
Filed under: Leptodontidium sp. BESC803_3
Lineage: Eukaryota; Fungi; Ascomycota; Leotiomycetes; Helotiales; Leptodontidiaceae
Description: eukaryotic LSU rRNA
Rfam family: Eukaryotic large subunit ribosomal RNA
Source: RNAcentral